GAUGAACGCUGGCGGCGUGCCUAACACAUGCAAGUCGAGCGGAUGGACGGGGCUUUUGCCUGGAUUCAGCUGGGGGCGGGCGGGUGAUGCACAGGAGUCUGCCUUGCCUUUGGGGCUGACAUCCGUAAGCGAGCGCUGAUAUCACACACGUCCAGAUGGUGAACCGGGGGGAUCUUCGGAAAUAUACCGUCUUGAUGUGCCUAGUUCGGAUUAGCUAGUUGGUUGGGUAAGGGCUUACCAAGGCGACGAUCCGUAGCCGGCCUGAGAGGAUGACCAGCCACACUGGAACUGAGACACGGUCCAGACUCCUACGGGAGGCAGCAGUAGGGAAUCUUGGGCAAUGGGCGAAAGCCUGAUCGAGCCACGCCGCGUGUGUGAAGAAGGUCUUCGGAUUGUAAAGCACUUUAAUUUGGGAGGAAGAGAAGUAUGUUUAUCUGUUGACGUUUUGACGUUACCUACACAAUAAGCACCGGCUAACUUCGUG
Molecule: ribosomal RNA, 484 nt
Filed under: uncultured bacterium
Lineage: Bacteria
Description: partial 16S ribosomal RNA
Rfam family: Bacterial small subunit ribosomal RNA
Source: RNAcentral